RNAcentral lists this ribosomal RNA (468 nucleotides) under uncultured bacterium. Its description in RNAcentral is "partial 16S ribosomal RNA". It matches the Rfam family "Bacterial small subunit ribosomal RNA", at positions 28 to 507 of the family's 1533-position model. The record is from RNAcentral.
GACGAACGCUGGCGGCGCGCCUAACACAUGCAAGUCGAACGGAGCCAAGAGGUGCUUGCUUUUCUUGACUUAGUGGCGAACGGGUGAGUAACGCGUGAGUAACCUGCACUGGAGUGGGGGACAACAGUUGGAAGCGACUGCUAAUACCGCAUAAGCUCACGCAUCCGCAUGGUUCUGAGGGCAAAGGAGUUAUUCGCGUCAGGGUGGACGCGCGUCCAAUUAGCUAGUUGGUGAGGUAACGGCCCACCAAGGCGACGAUUGGUAGCCGGACUGAGAGGUUGAACGGCCACAUUGGGAGUGGGACACGGCCCAGACUCCUACGCGAGGCAGCAGUGGGGGAUAUUGCACAAUGGGGGAAACCCUGAUGCAGCGACGCCGCGUGGAGGAAGAAGGUUUUCGGAUUGUAAACUCCUGUCGUCAGGGACGAUAAUGACGGUACCUAACAAGAAAGCACCGGCUAACUACGUG